RNAcentral lists this ribosomal RNA (536 nucleotides) under Clostridiales bacterium. Its description in RNAcentral is "partial 16S ribosomal RNA". It matches the Rfam family "Bacterial small subunit ribosomal RNA", at positions 1 to 298 of the family's 1533-position model. Lineage: Bacteria; Bacillati; Bacillota; Clostridia; Eubacteriales. The record is from RNAcentral.
UUAAGAGUUUGAUCCUGGCUCAGGACGAACGCUGGCGGCGUGCUUAACACAUGCAAGUCGAACGAAGAUACAGAUUAACACUGAGCGCCCGGUUUGGGGCGGGUGGAAGCGCAAGCGUUUUUGCGAGGCAACACAACAAGGUGGCGAAUAUCCAUGUAAACUGAAGCAGGGUGGAUGGUAAGCCUUGAUGCCGAGCAACACGCGUAAAUAAAGUGCUAACACAUCACCACACAGAAUAGUGUGGUGUGUGGAAGCGCGAGAGUGCUAACACGGAAUCGGGGAACUGACACAAGGCCUCGCCUCGGGGGCUGAGUGUUAAUCUGUAGACUGAGUGGCGGACGGGUGAGUAACGCGUGAGCAACCUGCCCUUCAGAGGGGGACAACAGCCGGAAACGGCUGCUAAUACCGCAUAAGACCACGGUAUCGCAUGACACUGGGGUAAAAGGAGAAAUUCACUGAAGGAUGGGCUCGCGUCCCAUUAGGUAGAUGGUGAGGUAACGGCUCACCAUGCCGACGAUGGGUAGCCGACCUGAGAG